GACGAACGCUGGCGGCGUGCCUAAUACAUGCAAGUAGAACGCUGAAGAGAGGAGCUUGCUCUUCUUGAAUGAGUUGCGAACGGGUGAGUAACGCGUAGGUAACCUGCCUUGUAGCGGGGGAUAACUAUUGGAAACGAUAGCUAAUACCGCAUAACGAUGGGUGACACAUGUCAUUUAUUUGAAAGGGGCAAUUGCUCCACUACAAGAUGGACCUGCGUUGUAUUAGCUAGUAGGUGAGGUAACGGCUCACCUAGGCGACGAUACAUAGCCGACCUGAGAGGGUGAUCGGCCACACUGGGACUGAGACACGGCCCAGACUCCUACGGGAGGCAGCAGUAGGGAAUCUUCGGCAAUGGGGGCAACCCUGACCGAGCAACGCCGCGUGAGUGAAGAAGGUUUUCGGAUCGUAAAGCUCUGUUGUAAGUCAAGAACGAGUGUGAGAGUGGAAAGUUCACACUGUGACGGUAGCUUACCAGAAAGGGACGGCUAACUACGUGCCAGCAGCCGCGGUAAUACGUAGGUCCCGAGCGUUGUCCGGAUUUAUUGGGCGUAAAGCGAGCGCAGGCGGUUUGAUGAGUCUGAAGUUAAAGGCUGUGGCUCAACCAUAGUUCGCUUUGGAAACUGUCAAACUUGAGUGCAGAAGGGGAGAGUGGAAUUCCAUGUGUAGCGGUGAAAUGCGUAGAUAUAUGGAGGAACACCGGUGGCGAAAGCGGCUCUCUGGUCUGUAACUGACGCUGAGGCUCGAAAGCGUGGGGAGCGAACAGGAUUAGAUACCCUGGUAGUCCACGCCGUAAACGAUGAGUGCUAGGUGUUGGAUCCUUUCCGGGAUUCAGUGCCGCAGCUAACGCAUUAAGCACUCCGCCUGGGGAGUACGACCGCAAGGUUGAAACUCAAAGGAAUUGACGGGGGCCCGCACAAGCGGUGGAGCAUGUGGUUUAAUUCGAAGCAACGCGAAGAACCUUACCAGGUCUUGACAUCCCGAUGCUAUUUCUAGAGAUAGAAAGUUACUUCGGUACAUCGGUGACAGGUGGUGCAUGGUUGUCGUCAGCUCGUGUCGUGAGAUGUUGGGUUAAGUCCCGCAACGAGCGCAACCCCUAUUGUUAGUUGCCAUCAUUCAGUUGGGCACUCUAGCGAGACUGCCGGUAAUAAACCGGAGGAAGGUGGGGAUGACGUCAAAUCAUCAUGCCCCUUAUGACCUGGGCUACACACGUGCUACAAUGGUUGGUACAACGAGUUGCGAGUCGGUGACGGCAAGCUAAUCUCUUAAAGCCAAUCUCAGUUCGGAUUGUAGGCUGCAACUCGCCUACAUGAAGUCGGAAUCGCUAGUAAUCGCGGAUCAGCACGCCGCGGUGAAUACGUUCCCGGGCCU
Molecule: ribosomal RNA, 1369 nt
Filed under: uncultured bacterium
Lineage: Bacteria
Description: bacterial SSU rRNA
Rfam family: Bacterial small subunit ribosomal RNA
Source: RNAcentral